CGUACCUUGACGGUACUUAACCAGAAAGCCACGGCUAACUACGUGCCAGCAGCCGCGGUAAUACGUAGGUGGCGAGCGUUAUCCGGAAUUAUUGGGCGUAAAGCGCGCGCAGGCGGUUUCUUAAGUCUGAUGUGAAAGCCCACGGCUCAACCGUGGAGGGUCAUUGGAAACUGGGAAACUUGAGUGCAGAAGAGGAAAGCGGAAUUCCACGUGUAGCGGUGAAAUGCGUAGAGAUGUGGAGGAACACCAGUGGCGAAGGCGGCUUUCUGGUCUGUAACUGACGCUGAGGCGCGAAAGCGUGGGGAGCAAACAGGAUUAGAUACCCUGGUAGUCCACGCCGUAAACGAUGAGUGCUAAGUGUUAGAGGGUUUCCGCCCUUUAGUGCUGAAGUUAACGCAUUAAGCACUCCGCCUGGGGAGUACGGUCGCAAGACUGAAACUCAAGAAAUUUUAACGGGAGCCCCAAG
Molecule: ribosomal RNA, 466 nt
Filed under: uncultured bacterium
Lineage: Bacteria
Description: bacterial SSU rRNA
Rfam family: Bacterial small subunit ribosomal RNA
Source: RNAcentral